RNAcentral lists this ribosomal RNA (406 nucleotides) under uncultured bacterium. RNAcentral describes it as "partial 16S ribosomal RNA". It matches the Rfam family "Bacterial small subunit ribosomal RNA", at positions 29 to 526 of the family's 1533-position model. The record is from RNAcentral.
AUUGAACGCUGGCGGCAGGCCUAACACAUGCAAGUCGAACGAGUGGCGGAAGGGUGAGUAAUGUCUGGGAAACUGCCCGAUGGAGGGGGGGAACUACUGGAGACGGUAGCUAAUACCGCAUACCAUCGGAUGUGCCCAGAGGGGAUUGGCUAGUAGGUGGGGUAACGGCUCACCUAGGCGACGAUCCCUAGCUGGUUUGAGAGGAUGACAGGGUACACGGGCACUUAGACACGGUCCAGCAUCCGAAGGCAGGAAGCAGCGGAGAAUAGUGCACAAUGGGCCAAAGCCCGAAGCAGCCAUGCCGCGUGUACGAAGAAGGCCUUCGGGUUGUAAAGUACUUUCAGCGAGGAGGCGUUACUCGCAGAAGAAGCACCGGCUAACUCCGUGCCAGCAGCCGCGGUAAUAC